GACGAACGCUGGCGGCGUGCCUAAUACAUGCAAGUAGAACGCUGAAGAGAGGAGCUUGCUCUUCUUGGAUGAGUUGCGAACGGGUGAGUAACGCGUAGGUAACCUGCCUUGUAGCGGGGGAUAACUAUUGGAAACGAUAGCUAAUACCGCAUAACAUUGGUUGACACAUGUCAUUUAUUUGAAAGGGGCAAUUGCUCCACUACAAGAUGGACUUGCGUUGUAUUAGCUAGUAGGUGAGGUAACGGCUCACCUAGGCGACGAUACAUAGCCGACCUGAGAGGGUGAUCGGCCACACUGGGACUGAGACACGGCCCAGACUCCUACGGGAGGCAGCAGUAGGGAAUCUUCGGCAAUGGGGGCAACCCUGACCGAGCAACGCCGCGUGAGUGAAGAAGGGUUUCGGAUCGUAAAGCUCUGUUGUAAGUCAAGAACGAGUGUGAGAGUGGAAAGUUCACACUGUGACGGUAGCUGACCAGAAAGGGACGGCUAACUACGUG
This 497-nucleotide ribosomal RNA is filed under the name uncultured bacterium. RNAcentral's name for it is "partial 16S ribosomal RNA". It matches the Rfam family "Bacterial small subunit ribosomal RNA", at positions 28 to 507 of the family's 1533-position model. The record is from RNAcentral.